This 60-nucleotide microRNA precursor is filed under the name Bombyx mori (domestic silkworm). Its description in RNAcentral is "mir-2774 microRNA precursor family". It matches the Rfam family "mir-2774 microRNA precursor family". Lineage: Eukaryota; Metazoa; Arthropoda; Insecta; Lepidoptera; Bombycidae. The record is from Rfam by way of RNAcentral.
ACAACAUUUGGACCGUCGGUCUACCAUCACCCGCUCGGUGGAAGAUCUUUCCUUUGUCGU